This 497-nucleotide ribosomal RNA is filed under the name uncultured bacterium. Its description in RNAcentral is "partial 16S ribosomal RNA". It matches the Rfam family "Bacterial small subunit ribosomal RNA", at positions 28 to 507 of the family's 1533-position model. The record is from RNAcentral.
GAUGAACGCUGGCGGCGUGCCUAAUACAUGCAAGUCGAGCGAACAGACGAGGAGCUUGCUCCUUUGACGUUAGCGGCGGACGGGUGAGUAACACGUAGGUAACCUACCUAUAAGACUGGGAUAACUUCGGGAAACCGGAGCUAAUACCGGAUAAUAUUUCGAACCGCAUGGUUCGAUAGUGAAAGAUGGCUUUGCUAUCACUUAUAGAUGGACCUGCGCCGUAUUAGCUAGUUGGUAAGGUAACGGCUUACCAAGGCAACGAUACGUAGCCGACCUGAGAGGGUGAUCGGCCACACUGGAACUGAGACACGGUCCAGACUCCUACGGGAGGCAGCAGUAGGGAAUCUUCCGCAAUGGGCGAAAGCAUGACGGAGCAACGCCGCGUGAGUGAUGAAGGUCUUCGGAUCGUAAAACUCUGUUAUUAGGGAAGAACAAACGUGUAAGUAACUGUGCACGUCUUGACGGUACCUAAUCAGAAAGCCACGGCUAACUACGUG